AAAAUCAUUUAGCACAGUAAGUUUAUAAGCUUAUUACCAUUUUGUUCAAAAAUCUCACACGUGCAAACAUAGAGUUAUGCGAUUAUAGUUUCCAAUAUAUCGAUUAGUAAUUGCGUAUAUCGCUCAUUCCUAUUUGUGUCAUCAGCAAAUGCUCUUAAUUAAUUGUUUGUUUAUAUUCGGUAUUUUAGCAAUUUUCUUCUUUAGAUUGACUAAUUAUUGCAAAACUUCAAGAAAAUAUUCCACAUAAUAGAUUAAGAAGGCAAUGUAUUGCAAAGCGAGUGCGAAUAUGAAGCUGCCAAAAUGUUAAUCGUGCCAAAGCGACGGUGGAAACGCCACCUAACAAUUACAAUAGAAGAUUAAAUCAGCUAAAGAAAAACACCCAUGAGUUGCUUGCAAGCUGCCAUAGUUCAACAUAUCUAAGUUGAUGGCACAAACAAUCAUUUCGGCGAGAGUUGUGUCCUCGCGCAAUAUAAAUGAUGACACCGAUCGCGUAUUGAAAGUCUAGCAGCAUUAUGCAUAGCUGCUUCUAAAACGUCUCCACCACGGUAAUGGAUUUACCUGUGCUAAAGCCAAGUACGAUAUUAAUAAGUUUGGAAAAAUUACUAUGAGCGAAUUUGGAAUUUUUUCUUGAGGUGAAAGAAUAUUGGCGCUGCUAUUUGAAAGCUUACAUUCCGUGGGUUUUUCGUUUUCUUUUUUCGCAACAGGACGGAGCAAUAUGGACGUAGAAAUGGAAUUAAUUAAUUAACAUAGGCACAUAUUCGCCUAUGCAUAGGUGAUGCCAAGCGCCAAUUGCCUUAAUAUGUAUGUAUGAGUUUGUGUUGCUGUUCUUUUGGCUUAAACCAGAGAAAAUAUAAUGGUGUUUAAAGAAGUGCAAAUAUAAAAUUGUAUUUAAAUAUUUCUAUAUUUCUGGUUUAUAUAAAUUUAUUGGAUAAGCUUUGUGAAAUUCAAAGCUCGUGAAUUUCUUAACACAGUUGUGAUUUGUAACAAAAAUGUGUGCUUUUAUUGGACAAAUCAAAAGCUUUAAGUUCAAAAAUCAUACUGAAAGUAUUGUAGUAACUUAGACGAAUGGUGUGCAACUGUUUCCGUGGUGUAGUGGUUAUCACAUCCGCCUAACACG
Long non-coding RNA from Ceratitis capitata (Mediterranean fruit fly), 1117 nucleotides. RefSeq lists it as uncharacterized. The transcript has 3 exons. The record is from RefSeq and is a predicted model, not a curated record. NCBI's taxonomy places the organism in Eukaryota, Metazoa, Arthropoda, Insecta, Diptera, Tephritidae.